This 492-nucleotide ribosomal RNA is filed under the name uncultured bacterium. RNAcentral describes it as "partial 16S ribosomal RNA". It matches the Rfam family "Bacterial small subunit ribosomal RNA", at positions 29 to 507 of the family's 1533-position model. The record is from RNAcentral.
AGUGAACGCUGGCGGUAGGCCUAACACAUGCAAGUCGAACGGCAGCACAGUAAGGGCUUGCUCUUACGGGUGGCGAGUGGCGGACGGGUGAGGAAUACAUCGGAAUCUACUUUUUCGUGGGGGAUAACGUAGGGAAACUUACGCUAAUACCGCAUACGACCUACGGGUGAAAGCAGGGGAUCUUCGGACCUUGCGCGAUUGAAUGAGCCGAUGUCGGAUUAGCUAGUUGGCGGGGUAAAGGCCCACCAAGGCGACGAUCCGUAGCUGGUCUGAGAGGAUAAUCAGCCACACUGGAACUGAGACACGGUCCAGACUCCUACGGGAGGCAGCAGUGGGGAAUAUUGGACAAAGGGCGCAAGCCUGAUCCAGCCAUACCGCGUGGGUGAAGAAGGCCUUCGGGUUGUAAAGCCCUUUUGUUGGGAAAGAAAAGCAGCAGGUUAAUACCCCGCUGUUCUGACGGUACCCAAAGAAUAAGCACCGGCUAACUUCGUG